AUUGAUUAUAAUAGAUAAAAGUAUGAUAUAUUUUUUUUAUUUUUCAUUUUAUAUACGAUAAUUGAAUAUAUUAAUAUGUAAUAAUAUUUCAAAACUAAUUCCGAAAUUAGAUAAAAUAUUUACAUAUAAUGUUUAAAAAUUAAGAUCUUGGUAAAAUCCUUUCAAACAGAUUCGUUGAAUUUUUAAUAUAUAUUUUAUAUUAAAAAUAAAAAAAAUAUCACAAUAUAUUAUAAUUAAAUUAGUUUAAAUAUUUUAUGUGUUAUUAGUUUUAAUAAAAUACAUUUAAUAAAAUUUCUAAAAAUUAUUUCAAAUUAAAAAAUCGUACAUGAAAAAAGUCAUGAUUUCUAUUUUAAUAGAAUAGAGAUAUCUUAUUAUUUGUAAUUUUUUUACCUAUUAGUUUUUUGGUUUACCAAUACCUUGUUUGUUUAUCAGAUUCUAAGAGGUUCGUCUAUCUUAACAAAUUCUACGGUGUUUAAAAAUUGGGAGCAUAGAAAUCAGUCACUGCACUAUUCUUUACUCUAUUUAUGCUUAUUAAUGAUUCUUUGUUGCUGUUAAACAGCUUGCGCGACAGUUUCAAACUAAUCAAGCAGAUGGCUGGCGUUAGGCCCUUAGCGGAGGAGGAUAAGGAAGUUAUCUCAUUAUAUGGCAAACCAAUUACCUUUUACGGCAUUCUUCAAGCUUUUACACAAGACAAGCCACGUUUCCUUCCAAGGUGUUUGAGUUACAAAAUACAGGCGAGGAAAAAUAAGAUGGCAAAUCUAAGUGGAAUAACAAUUUUCAACUACAUGAAUUGUAACAACAUAAUACUCAGAUCCCAAGGUG
Molecule: long non-coding RNA, 822 nt
Organism: Brassica napus (rape)
Lineage: Eukaryota; Viridiplantae; Streptophyta; Magnoliopsida; Brassicales; Brassicaceae
Exons: 3
Source: RefSeq, a predicted model, not a curated record